GGAUAUAAGGGUGAUAUGGUUACAACAUCCAUCAUCACAUUGCUCACCAGAGUUGAUUCAUCAGAUGUGGCUGGCUAGGCAGGCAUCCCCUUCCUCCUUCACAGUAUGUCCCACCCAAAGCUGCUCACUCAGUGGAAGAGGAUGACCCUCUCUGUACAAAGGAGAGUCAGUCUUUGAUCAAGAUUGUGCAAGUAACUGAGCUCCCCUGCUACAACCUCCAAAUAAGCUUUGAAAUCUUGUUUGUUUGUUUGUCUUCUGAGGUAGGGUCUCACACUAGAUCAGGCUGACCUGGGAUUCACUAUUUAGUUUCAGGGUAGUCUGGAACCCU
Molecule: small nuclear RNA, 328 nt
Filed under: Jaculus jaculus (lesser Egyptian jerboa)
Lineage: Eukaryota; Metazoa; Chordata; Mammalia; Rodentia; Dipodidae
Description: 7SK RNA (ENSJJAG00000004952.1)
Rfam family: 7SK RNA
About the family: 7SK was discovered as an abundant small nuclear RNA in the mid-70s but a possible function has only recently been suggested. Two independent studies have found that 7SK RNA binds the CDK9/cyclin T complex (known as elongation factor P-TEFb).
Source: Rfam by way of RNAcentral